RNAcentral lists this ribosomal RNA (490 nucleotides) under uncultured bacterium. Its description in RNAcentral is "partial 16S ribosomal RNA". It matches the Rfam family "Bacterial small subunit ribosomal RNA", at positions 30 to 507 of the family's 1533-position model. The record is from RNAcentral.
AUUGAACGCUGGCGGCAGGCCUAACUCAUGCAAGUCGAAUGGUAACAGGAAACAGCUUGCUGUUUCGCUGACGAGUGGCGGACGGGUGAGUAAUGUCUGGGAAACUGCCUGAUGGAGGGGGAUAACUACUGGAAACGGUAGCUAAUACCGCAUAACGUCGCAAGACCAAAGAGGGGGACCUUCGGGCCUCUUGCCAUCAGAUGUGCCCAGAUGGGAUUAGCUAGUAGGUGGGGUAACGGCUCACCUAGGCGACGAUCCCUAGCUGGUCUGAGAGGAUGACCAGCCACACUGGAACUGAGACACGGUCCAGACUCCUACGGGAGGCAGCAGUGGGGAAUAUUGCACAAUGGGCGCAAGCCUGAUGCAGCCAUGCCGCGUGUAUGAAGAAGGCCUUCGGGUUGUAAAGUACUUUCAGCGGGGAGGAAGGGAGUAAAGUUAAUACCUUUGCUCAUUGACGUUACCCGCAGAAGAAGCACCGGCUAACUCCGUG